GACGUAGGAGGCGAGCGUUAUCCGGAUUCACUGGGCGUAAAGCGCAUGUAGGCGGCUGGGAAAGUCAGUUGUUAAAGCCCCUGGCUCAACUGGGGGAGGUCAACUGAGACUAUUCGGCUUGAGGGCAGCAGAGGCGCGUGGAACUCCCGGUGUAGCGGUGGAAUGCGUAGAGAUCGGGAAGAACACCAGUGGCGAAGGCGGCGCGCUGGGCUGCAACUGACGCUGAGAUGCGAAAGUGUGGGGAGCAAACGGG
RNAcentral lists this ribosomal RNA (253 nucleotides) under uncultured bacterium. RNAcentral's name for it is "partial 16S ribosomal RNA". It matches the Rfam family "Bacterial small subunit ribosomal RNA", at positions 524 to 776 of the family's 1533-position model. The record is from RNAcentral.